CUUUGUCCUCCACUCCACAAGUGUAAGGGGGGGUGGUUUUAUGUUUGGCAAUGCCAUCACCAGCAAUUGCAUGCUCUUUGAUAGAUUUGCUGAGGCAAAGUAAUCCGAUCAAAGUAUAUCGAUGACAAAUGUAUAUUGCUCGAGGACAUUACUUGCGAAUGUUUCUUUAAUAGGGAUCCAACAGGGAACAUCCGGUUUGUAAAGGCAUUCUAAUCAAUAACUAUUGCAACAGCAUCAUGUGAUGGGCCAUUUGAGGAAACAUCACAUGACUGAAUUGUUUAGAAACCAAUAUGGAAAAAUCAUACUCCGGAGGAUGGAACAACAACAAGGUUUCUCAUUAUGAUAUUGUAUAACAAAUAGCAAAAAUGACAAGUUUUGAGUACUAAUUAACCCUUUCCCACUAAAAACCAAAGUGGUAAUAGAAAUAUGCAACCGGCAAAAAAACUGUCUGUUUAGGUUUAAUGCUGUCUGGUGCCCAUCUGUCAAAUUGCGUAUCUAAGUGGUAGAUGGUUAAACAAUACAUACUUGUAUUUAUAGGUUUAAGUACCUUUAAUGUUUUUAUUGGUUUAAGUACCUUUUAACAAUGUCUUACUUAUAUUUAUGGGAUGCGGCCAGCAGCAUCAAUCGUUCCCCGAUAUGUGGACAGGCUUUCUUGGUACGAUUUUUAUCACUCUCGAUGAACUCCUUCAAUGCAAAUAGUAUCAGGAUAGGUUUCCAAUGCCCAUAGAAAGAGACGAUGCAAUGCGAAGUAACCAUUGAGACUGUUAUCGCUCGUAUGCUGCGUUCCUUUGCUGAAUUCCACCACCGUGGCGCUCAUAAGGUUUGGGAUGGUCUUGAUCACCAUUUCUUCAAUCGGGGUUUUGUUCGCCUUGCACUUCGGCAUGAUCGCUGCGAUGUCUUUGGAACUCGCAGGGGGUAGUCAAAGCGGGUCGGUGAGUUGGACCAGAAACUAUCAAUCCGUAGCCAUACAAGUCUUCUAUGCCCUUAGGUUUCUCGACUUUAAGAGGCUCCUUUGACAUAUAGUCUACGAUCUGCGGACCUUAGUAUAAGAGGGAUGUAUUUAGUAUAUGAAUUACAUUUAGCCUAAGAAAGAUAAUAGUGUAUUAAGUAUGAGGAUUAUAAUGUAUUUAGUACAAAAAACUAAUAUUUUAUUUAGUAUUAGAAGGAUACUAUUGUUUUUAGUAUAAGAAGAUUAUUAUUGUAUUACAUAUAAAAAGGAUAACAUGGUAUUAAUUAUAUGAAGGAUAUUAUCACAUUGAACAUAAGAAAGAUAUAAUUAAGAAAUAAUAUUGUAUGUUUAGUACAAGGAUGGUAUUGUAUUUAGUAUAAGAAGGGCCAUAUUGUAUUUAGUUUAAUACGGCUAUUAUUGUAAUUAGUAUAAGAAGGAUAGUAUUGAAUUUAUAAUAAGUAUGAUACUAUGGAAUUUAGUAAUAAGUAUACAUAGGAUAAUAUUGUAUGAUAAGAAUGAUAACAUUUUUUAGUUUAUACAUAUUUAUUUCUGUUGGAAAUACAUUGUUCAUCAAUCAUGCACAAUACAAUGAUUAAAAGAAAACGUUUGAAACCAAAGAAAUAA
Molecule: long non-coding RNA, 1573 nt
Organism: Dreissena polymorpha
Lineage: Eukaryota; Metazoa; Mollusca; Bivalvia; Myida; Dreissenidae
Exons: 3
Source: RefSeq, a predicted model, not a curated record